AUGGCUGGAUCUCCGCCUUCUCCGUCCACAUGCGUGCAGCAGGAACUAGCAGCCGCACGGGUCUGAGCUCGGCCUCUCAAUUUUGUUUCACUUUUCAAGGAUGAGUAUCUUUACUUUGAAAAUGAACUGGUCAUAUUUCUAUUGGAAAUGAAGUGAUGUUGCUUCCCAGGACCAAUUAGGAUGUAUACCUGAAGGAGUGAAUCUACUGGUUCAGCUGAAAAUUGAUCUCUAUUUGGUUUUUGUUUUUGUGUUUGGUUUU
This is a long non-coding RNA of Triticum dicoccoides, 259 nucleotides long. RefSeq lists it as uncharacterized. The transcript is spliced from 3 exons. The record is from RefSeq and is a predicted model, not a curated record. NCBI's taxonomy places the organism in Eukaryota, Viridiplantae, Streptophyta, Magnoliopsida, Poales, Poaceae.